UACAGAGGGUGCGAGCGUUGUUCGGAAUUAUUGGGCGUAAAGCGCUUGUAGGCGGCCUAUCAAGUCGCGUGUGAAAUCCCUAGGCUUAACCUAGGAAGUGCGCGCGAAACUGACGGGCUUGAGUGCUGGAGAGGGUCGCGGAAUUCCCGGUGUAGAGGUGAAAUUCGUAGAUAUCGGGAGGAACACCAGUGGCGAAGGCGGCGACCUGGACAGACACUGACGCUGAGACGCGAAAGCGUGGGGAGCAAACAG
RNAcentral lists this ribosomal RNA (252 nucleotides) under uncultured bacterium. Its description in RNAcentral is "partial 16S ribosomal RNA". It matches the Rfam family "Bacterial small subunit ribosomal RNA", at positions 524 to 775 of the family's 1533-position model. The record is from RNAcentral.